Long non-coding RNA from Xenia sp. Carnegie-2017, 838 nucleotides. RefSeq lists it as uncharacterized. The record is from RefSeq and is a predicted model, not a curated record. Lineage: Eukaryota; Metazoa; Cnidaria; Anthozoa; Malacalcyonacea; Xeniidae. The transcript is spliced from 8 exons.
UCAAUGGUGCAUAUUGCCAAUAGGACACCUCUGUCAACAACCUUGUAAAGAUAAAGGCAGUGCUCCAGAAAUCCGCGCUGCGGUAACCAUGUGGUAGAAUGGUAGAAACGUGGUGAAAAUGUGACACCGACAGUUAAUAAAUGAAUUGUUCAUUUUCAACUUAACUUUGUUUCGCAUUUUAUAAUAAUUCCGUCUGAAUAUGUUUGGCUAGGUGUUUGGGCUGUAUUUGAUGAAAACGGACUAUCACAUCAUGCAUUGCUGCAUUAUUGUAUGGCUAAAUGCAUUCUUCAGGUUAUGAUUAUAACAUCAGAGAAAGUGAUAGCAGAUAAACUUUUUAUUUCAGAUGGUUUUGGCCAAAGCCCUCUCUCAUCCAGCUUAAUAUAUUUACGAAAAAAUUUCUGAUGACACCCAUCACUAAUGGCAAUAUGAAUAAUUGUUCACCGACAGAUUUUAGUCCAACAAUCAUUUCUCAUCAAAUGAACGUUUCUGCAAUAAUAAGAUGACGAGUUUUGGAUGAAAAAGUUCUUUUAAGAAAAGCCGGUAAACAGAGUCCAUUGUAUGAAUGAACAGUGAUGAGCUUUGUAAAAAGGAUUUGGUUGACGCCAUUUUGCCUUUGGUGACGGAUCGCCCGACUACAGCGUAAGAGAAAUGUUUGAGCAAUUUGGAAGGAAUAAUUUUGAAGAAUAUUUCAAUGGAAACGACAGGCGCUGAACAACAAUCAAGUUGGAAAUUCUUGGAGUUGAUAGCAGGCGAGUCGGGCCAAGAGUUAAGUUAUGCCCUCGAAGUUGCAACAAAAGAUUAUACUUGGUCGUUUAAUCAAUGAUCAUUACGCCACAAC